This 513-nucleotide ribosomal RNA is filed under the name Muribaculaceae bacterium. Its description in RNAcentral is "partial 23S ribosomal RNA". It matches the Rfam family "Bacterial large subunit ribosomal RNA", at positions 1 to 519 of the family's 2925-position model. Lineage: Bacteria; Pseudomonadati; Bacteroidota; Bacteroidia; Bacteroidales; Muribaculaceae. The record is from RNAcentral.
AGGAAAGGAGAGAAGGGCACAUGAAGGAUGCCUUGGCUCUCGGAGGCGAAGAAGGACGUGAUAAGCUGCGAUAAGCCGCGUGUAGAGGCAAAUACUCAUUGAUACGCGGAUUUCCGAAUGGGGCAACCCACCGUUAGCGAUAACGGUACCUCACCGAGUGAGGGGCGAACCCGGGGAACUGAAACAUCUCAUUACCCGGAGGAGAAGAAAACAAAAGUGAUUGCGCAAGUAGUGGCGAGCGAACGCGCAGGAGCCCAAACCGAGGAUGUAGCAAUGCAUCACUCGGGGUUGUAGGACCGUCGACGCGCCGACAGCGAAUGUUAGGGGAAGCUUCUGGAAAGGAGCGCCAUAGGAGGUGAAAGCCCUGUACCCGAAAACAUGAACUGAAGGCAAGACGGCACCUGAGUAAGCCGGGACACGAGAAAUCCUGGCCGAACCCGCGGGGACCAUCCCGUAAGGCUAAAUACUACCGAGAGACCGAUAGCGAACCAGUACCGUGAGGGAAAGGUGAAA